Molecule: ribosomal RNA, 984 nt
Filed under: uncultured Thermococcus sp.
Lineage: Archaea; Methanobacteriati; Methanobacteriota; Thermococci; Thermococcales; Thermococcaceae
Description: bacterial SSU rRNA
Rfam family: Archaeal small subunit ribosomal RNA
Source: RNAcentral
CGCGAAACCUCCGCAAUGCGGGAAACCGCGACGGGGGGACCCCCAGUGCCGUGGCAUCGCCACGGCUUUUCCGGAGUGUAAGGAGCUCCGGGAAUAAGGGCUGGGCAAGGCCGGUGGCAGCCGCCGCGGUAAUACCGGCGGCCCGAGUGGUGGCCACUAUUAUUGGGCCUAAAGCGUCCGUAGCCGGGCCCGUAAGUCCCUGGCGAAAUCUCACGGCUCAACCGUGGGGCUCGCUGGGGAUACUGCGGGCCUUGGGACCGGGAGAGGCGGAGGGUACCCCUGGGGUAGGGGUGAAAUCCUAUAAUCCCAGGGGGACCGCCAGUGGCGAAGGCGCUCCGCUGGAACGGGUCCGACGGUGAGGGACGAAGGCCAGGGGAGCAAACCGGAUUAGAUACCCGGGUAGUCCUGGCUGUAAAGGAUGCGGGCUAGGUGUCGGGUGAGCUUCGGGCUCGCCCGGUGCCGGAGGGAAGCCGUUAAGCCCGCCGCCUGGGGAGUACGGCCGCAAGGCUGAAACUUAAGGGAAUUGGCGGGGGAGCACCACAAGGGGUGGGGCGUGCGGUUUAAUUGGAUUCAACGCCGGGAACCUCACCGGGGGCGACGGCAGGAUGAAGGCCAGGCUGAAGGUCUUGCCGGACACGCCGAGAGGAGGUGCAUGGCCGCCGUCAGCUCGUACCGUGAGGCGUCCACUUAAGUGUGGUAACGAGCGAGACCCGUGCCCCCAGUUGCCAGUCCUCCCCGUUGGGGAGGAGGCACUCUGGGGGGACCGCCGGCGAUAAGCCGGAGGAAGGAGCGGGCGACGGUAGGUCAGUAUGCCCCGAAACCCCCGGGCUACACGCGCGCUACAAUGGGCGGGACAAUGGGAUCCGACCCCGAAAGGGGAAGGAAAUCCCCUAAACCCGCCCUCAGUUCGGAUUGCGGGCUGCAACUCGCCCGCAUGAAGCUGGAAUCCCUAGUACCCGCGUGUCAUCAUCGCGCGGCGAAUAC